AGAGUUUGAUCUUGGCUCAGGACGAACGCUGGCGGCGUGCUUAACACAUGCAAGUCGAACGAUGAAGCCUAGCUUGCUAGGUGGAUUAGUGGCGAACGGGUGAGUAAUACGUGAGUAACCUACCUUUAACUCUGGGAUAAGCCUGGGAAACUGGGUCUAAUACCGGAUACGACCAAUCUCCGCAUGGAGUGUUGGUGGAAAGCGUUAUGUAGUGGUUAUAGAUGGGCUCACGGCCUAUCAGCUUGUUGGUGAGGUAACGGCUCACCAAGGCGACGACGGGUAGCCGGCCUGAGAGGGUGACCGGCCACACUGGGACUGAGACACGGCCCAGACUCCUACGGGAGGCAGCAGUGGGGAAUAUUGCACAAUGGGCGCAAGCCUGAUGCAGCGACGCCGCGUGAGGGAUGACGGCCUUCGGGUUGUAAACCUCUGUUAGCAGGGAAGAAGAGAAAUUGACGGUACCUGCAGAGAAAGCGCCGGCUAACUACGUGCCAGCAGCCGCGGUAAUACGUAGGGCGCGAGCGUUGUCCGGAAUUAUUGGGCGUAAAGAGCUUGUAGGCGGUUUGUCGCGUCUGCUGUGAAAGGCCGGGGCUUAACCCCGUGUAUUGCAGUGGGUACGGGCAGACUAGAGUGCAGUAGGGGAGACUGGAAUUCCUGGUGUAGCGGUGGAAUGCGCAGAUAUCAGGAGGAACACCGAAGGCGGGUCUCUGGGCCGUUACUGACGCUGAGGAGCGAAAGCGUGGGGAGCGAACAGGAUUAGAUACCCUGGUAGUCCACGCUGUAAACGCCCCCUAUGGGUGGGGGGCCACCCGUGGUUUUUGCGCCGUAGCUAACGCUUUAAGUGCCCCGCCUGGGGAGUACGGCCGCAAGGCUAAAACUCAAAGGAAUUGACGGGGGCCCGCACAAGCGGCGGAGCAUGCGGAUUAAUUCGAUGCAACGCGAAGAACCUUACCAAGGCUUGACAUGCACGGCGACACUGCAGAGAUGUGGUGGCAUUUAGUUGGUCGUGUGCAGGUGGUGCAUGGUUGUCGUCAGCUCGUGUCGUGAGAUGUUGGGUUAAGUCCCGCAACGAGCGCAACCCUUGCCCUAUGUUGCCAGCACGUGAUGGUGGGGACUCGUGGGGGACUGCCGGGGUUAACUCGGAGGAAGGUGGGGAUGACGUCAAAUCAUCAUGCCCCUUAUGUCUUGGGCUUCACGCAUGCUACAAUGGUUGGUACAGAGGGUUGCGAUAUCGUGAGGUGGAGCGAAUCCCUUAAAGCCAGUCUCAGUUCGGAUUGGGGUCUGCAACUCGACCCCAUGAAGGUGGAGUCGCUAGUAAUCGCAGAUCAGCAACGCUGCGGUGAAUACGUUCUCGGGCCUUGUACUCACCGCCCGUCA
RNAcentral lists this ribosomal RNA (1377 nucleotides) under uncultured bacterium. RNAcentral describes it as "16S ribosomal RNA". It matches the Rfam family "Bacterial small subunit ribosomal RNA". The record is from RNAcentral.